GUAGGUGGCAAGCGUUGUCCGGAAUUAUUGGGCGUAAAGCGCGCGCAGGGCGGUUCUUUAAGUCUGAUGUGAAAGCCCACGGCUCAACCGUGGAGGGUCAUUGGAAACUGGAGAACUUGAGUACAGAAGAGGAAAGCGGAAUUCCACGUGUAGCGGUGAAAUGCGUAGAGAUGUGGAGGAACACCGGUGGCGAAGGCGGCUUUCUGGUCUGUAACUGACGCUGAGGCGCGAAAGCGUGGGGAGCAAACAGGAUUAGAUACCCUGGUAGUCCACGCCGUAAACGAUGAGUGCUAAGUGUUAGGGGGUUUCCGCCCCUUAGUGCUGCAGCUAACGCAUUAAGCACUCCGCCUGGGGAGUACGACCGCAAGGUUG
Molecule: ribosomal RNA, 372 nt
Filed under: uncultured organism
Description: partial 16S ribosomal RNA
Rfam family: Bacterial small subunit ribosomal RNA
Source: RNAcentral